RNAcentral lists this ribosomal RNA (442 nucleotides) under uncultured microorganism. RNAcentral's name for it is "bacterial SSU rRNA". It matches the Rfam family "Bacterial small subunit ribosomal RNA", at positions 346 to 789 of the family's 1533-position model. The record is from RNAcentral.
GUGCACCAGUCGCGAAUAUUCCGCAAUGGGCGAAAGCCUGACGGAGCGACGCUGCGUGCGGGAAGAAGGCCUUCGGGUUGUAAACCGCUUUUCUGGCUGAUCAAGUCCAUUUUAUUAUGGAUUGAGCGUAGGCCAGGAAUAAGGGGCCGCUAAACUCGUGCCAGCAGCGGCGGUAAUACGAGUGCCCCAAGCGUUAUCCGGAAUUACUGGGCGUAAAGCGCUAAAAGGCGGUUUGAUAAGUCAGACGUCAAAUCUCCGAGCUCAACUCGGAGCCGGUGUCUGAAACUGUCUAACUUGAGGACGGAAGAGGCAAGCGGAAUGGCUGGUGUAGCAGUAAAAUGCGUUAAUAUCAGCUAGAACACCAAUGGCGAAGGCAGCUUGCUGGGACGUUCCUGACGCUAAAUAGCGAAAGCGUGGGUAGCGAAAGGGAUUAGAUACCCCU